RNAcentral lists this ribosomal RNA (638 nucleotides) under Calonarius olearioides. Its description in RNAcentral is "eukaryotic LSU rRNA". The stretch from base 255 to 408 matches the Rfam family "5.8S ribosomal RNA". Lineage: Eukaryota; Fungi; Basidiomycota; Agaricomycetes; Agaricales; Cortinariaceae. The record is from RNAcentral.
AGGAUCAUUAUUGAAAUAAACUUGAUGGGUUGCUGCUGGUUCUCUAGGGAGCAUGUGCACACUUGUCAUUUUUUGUAUCUCCACCUGUGAAUCUUUUGUAGACCUUGGGUAUCUCUCUGAUUGCUUUUUAGCAGUCAGGAUUUGAGAAUUGACUUUCUGUCUCUUCUUACAUUUCCAGGUCUAUGUUUUUUCAAAUACCCUAAUGUAUGUUUAUAGAAUGUAAUUAAUAGGCCUUUGUGCCUAUAAAUUGAUACAACUUUCAGCAACGGAUCUCUUGGCUCUCGCAUCGAUGAAGAACGCAGCGAAAUGCGAUAAGUAAUGUGAAUUGCAGAAUUCAGUGAAUCAUCGAAUCUUUGAACGCACCUUGCGCUCCUUGGUAUUCCGAGGAGCAUGCCUGUUUGAGUGUCAUUAAUAUAUCAACCUUUUUGGUUGGAUGUGGGGGUUUGCUGGCCACUUUUUGAGGUCAAGCUCCCCUUAAAUUCAUUAGCAGACGACAUUUUGCCAAACGUUUAUUGGUGUGAUAAUUAUCUACACUAUUGACGUGAAGCARGGGUUCAGCUUCUAACAGUCCAUUGACUUGGACAAAUUUUAUUUAUUAAUGUGACCUCAAAUCAGGUAGGACUACCCGCUGAACUUAA